Long non-coding RNA from Drosophila pseudoobscura, 6100 nucleotides. RefSeq lists it as uncharacterized. NCBI's taxonomy places the organism in Eukaryota, Metazoa, Arthropoda, Insecta, Diptera, Drosophilidae. The transcript has 3 exons. The record is from RefSeq and is a predicted model, not a curated record.
GCUAGCAUUUGAUGUUUUGCUUCAACGUCCUCGAAAAAUCAAUCAAACAAAAACGGCCGCCCAGGGCUGCACUUUCGGGGUUGUCCUAUCACUGAAUCGAUUAGUUGUCGUUAAUAUCGAUACGGCGCGAUAUCUCACUCUACCUCCUUAAAUCUAAGCAGCAGCCAAGAAAGAGGCAAAAUCAUCAAGUAAAUAAUUACGAAACAGGGUCGCCCGCCACCCGCUCCCUUGUCACCUGAGCCUAUGCCAAUGGCAAUUAAGCGUGGGCUCCCACACACCAAAGCGACCGCAAUGUGACCUAUCCACCGACCCACCUGAAUGGACCAUACUGCCCAGGACAUUAUAGUAAUGAAGCCAGCACAGUCAAUUUCAAUAACGCAAUCAAAUGCGUGCAGUUUCAAAACCACAAAAGCCAAACAAGAAGAAGAGGAACCAAAUGCCAUUCACAAAGCCAUGGCCAAUACUCAAACAGUGUGUCCGGUCGAGGCAAUCUUUUUGGGCAUUCCUGGCACGUAUUUCCAAUGGCCAUAGCUGGAACGGGAUGUGGUACUUCUCCGAGAAAAGGAAGCCCCCGAUAAUGGCCUGGCGAGUCGCAUGCAUAUUUCAGUAAUUUGCGCCACCUUUUGUGUGGUACGGCAUUCACCUCUACCCGUGUAGUGUACACCGCCCGUGUCCCAUCCCAGUCAUUUCCGGUCUACAUAUUUCAUGAGGGCACCAAAGUUUGCGGAUGCAGCAAUUUUAAGAAAAAGCAGAGGAAACUUGAGUGGAACCACUCAAAAUGUAAUCGAAGUGUCUUAGACGCACCCCCACGCACCUGAAUAGUCGCUCUUUUAUGUGUGUUUGUGUUUGCAUCUGUAUUCAUGGCGUCUCUCGUCUCGCCCCCAAUCCCAAUCCCAGCCCAGACUCCUCUGAUGUUGGACGAAGUCAUCUUGAUUUUCAAUUUCAACGCCAUUUGCGCUUCACUGCCAUUGGAAGUCAUUUGCAUUUUUCUCCAUCUUACUGUUGCGUACCCCCAGGGGGCAUAUGCACUAGCUGGUUGGGAGGACUAACUAAUUUUUGGGGGAGUUAGAUCGGAGAACGACAUUUGCAGAUCAAAAAUAGAUUUUCAGUUAAUUCAGUUCUCUAUAGAGUUCGAUUGGUAUACAUUUAGAGGUACAACUUGUAGCUAAUAAGACGCUGACGUUCCCUAAAGAGCUUCGAGCUCCUCAAGAGUAUCUAAUAUUUGGCUAGAUUUGUCCUCUCCGCGUUCCCGUUGUGUAGCCCAAUAGGUGAUAAUGCUAAUAAUAAGUCGAGUCAAUUGACAAAAAGUUUCGUCAUUUUCAAACAGCCCCCAGCCACACCCGCUGGCAAUUUGUAGACAUCCCGCAGUAAAUUUAUUGAAUGUGGAAAUUUUAAAAUUGUUCAUUUGAGAAACAAUUUGGGAGCAUAAAAUACAGACAAAAUGCCUUCGUUUUCUUAUGUCAGCAUUGUCUGCCAUAAGUUCGAAUAUAUGGCAAUAAAAAGACACUGUUGUUGUUGUUGUUGUCCUUGCUCUCUGGGGCCACCAACAACAAGCGCCCCGAGCAUUCCAAGUGAGUUUGUCUGUCUGUCUGUCUUUGUGUAUUUUUAUGUGAUUUCUCAAGCCAUCUUCUAUCUGGGGAGGAUGGAAAGUGCUCUCAUGUGCGAUUGAAUGGGAAAUAGGGAAAAUGUUAUGCCAUUUAUUUAGAGCAUUUCCAGCAAGGCAAGUCCCAGUGCCAAUUGUGCAACUUACUCAAUGAAAUGUAAAUGCGAAUCAAUUGUAGUUUUAUUUGAAGUAAUUCCUGAUUCAACAAAAUCGACUGCCAGUAAAAGCAUUUAAUUUCGAAUAUUCAAUUUCAAUUUCCAUUUGCAUAUUGCUGUGUGACUUUCAUUAGCAUCAAUUUAGUUAGUUAGUCAAAUGGUUACUUCGUUAGUUGGAGUCACUAAAAGAGUUGAGGUUCCUCUGGGGUCUGGAGUCUGCCGGGGCGAAAACAUCAAAAAGCACUUUGUGGAGGAGCAAACUUUCGGUGGUUCGGAAUACUGAUUCGUACCUGAGCAGAUGUAGAAUAUACAUAUAUAUACAUAAGCUGUACGUGAGAUCUCCCCGCUAACCAAUUUGAUUUGCCCCGCCCCGCCCGACUGCCAGCGUCACCGCCUCUUGCCCCGGCCCGGCCCCGGCCACAUCUGCCCUCUGUUUACACCUCUUGAGGUCGGCUGCUUCGCAUGCAUAUCAACGAUUUUCAAAUUGGCGACGAAAUGAUAUGCCAAACUACACGGCAGAACAGGAGAGCCCCGGAAUUCACCUUUCGCCGAGCCGUGGACGGGGACCUGAAGGACCUGCAGGCAGGCGUCAACGGCGACAUCGACAUUAUCGUGGCACAGGCUGUAGCUGUAGCUGUAGCUAAUGCUUGUCACGUCUCCUUCAACAUUUGACAAGCCAAAUUCGACAAAAAAAUCCGCACGUUGUCGUGCCGUCCCGUCUCUGACUUUGUUUUUCGAUUCGACGAAGAAAAUGAUUUUCACAGGUGAAUUGGAAAGCGCGUAAUGUUGUAAUGUUUGACUUGGCAGCAGGCACGUACCCCAUCCUCCGUGUUCGCCCGGCACUGGGAGAAAUGGUGAAAGCCUCCAUAUGGUCUGUGAGCAAUUGAUGUUGCAACUAUUCCUGCCAGUGUAGCACUCAUGUGCCGCAUCGACGAGCCAACGCUGCGUAUGCGUAUCCGUAUGCGUAUUCCGAAUGCGAGGCGCCACUUUUGCAAAUUGGAUGAAAAUCUUUGGCUUUUCAGCAGCGCAAUUCGUUUGCCUUUUUAUUUUCCUUAUUCACCUUUUUGUUGCUUUGUUUCGCCUUGGGUGUUGCUCGUGUGGGAUGCAUCAGCCUGGAAAUUGACAUGUCUUGGCCAUGUCAGCCCGAACACAAGCCCAAGCACAGCCCUGGCAGUGGGUUGCAUUUAUUCAAAGGCCAAAGGGAUGACAGACACAUAGAAAAUAUGCCUCCCUCAUUCAUCAUGACACGUCUGGGCCUGUCACACGAGAAAGAGCCACAACAUUUAAGGGAAAAGGAUUUACAGCAUACUAGUUCUAGCCAACACCUGCACAAACAGGACAGCACAACACGAGCCAGGAGACAAGUUCUGGGCAGCUUACCUCGUGUUCUUUCUCGAGAUUAUUUUUGUAAACUUUUUCACUUCGCUUCAAGAAACAAAUUCAAACAAAUUGAAGAGCUUCGCUCUGUGGCUCUCCUUUGGCAUUCUGGAAUCCAUUCCAGCCAGCAUUCCUGAAUGGGGUAGAGCGGGGAGGGGGAAGCUGGGCUCACCUUGGCGCCCAUUAAAUGAACUGAGCCAACAUGUGUUACAGAGUCCGACGAGUGCAAAAUAUGUUUCACGUUGCCCAAACUCGUAACUCUUUGCUGGGGAGCCGGAGCUAAACUUUUUUACGUUUUUAUUGCCCAAAGUGAGUAUGGAGCUGAAGGAUGCGAUGGCUUUGGCUACUCGUAUAUGUAUGUACGGUUCUUGGGGAUGAGAAAACUUAAAGUUUCAGUGGGCUGGCAGAUUCAUCUGCUGGCGAUUGCAGCCGGGUAUGCUCCUGCUGUCACUGAGGUUCAUUGAACCAAAUGCCAAGCGGAGCGCAUUUCCGCAUGUCCCUGUCUGAGUCGAGGUCGGAGUCGGAGUCGGGAUCCGGGGUCCCUGUUAGCUGCAAAUAAACUUUGCUGAGUGGCUGGCUCGGAGACGGAUACGGAUUCGGGUACGGAGACGUGGCCUGGCUUUGAUAAAUGUGCACAUAAUUAUGGUUCCUGCUCCUGGUGUGCUUUGAAUGGACCCUGAAGCGUUGAGAUGCAAUGCGAGGUGCGGGAGCGGAAUGGGAAAUGGGAAACGGAAAAUGGGAACCCACACUUGACGCUCGAGCGUAGAGAGUGUCUUUAAAGCGUCUCACUGCGACGAUGUGACCUGCUUAAAGCCUCUAUGCUCACAUCAGGUCUUAAUUAAUGUUGCAUAAUUAACAGAGCAAGAAGAAGCACCCAAGGAAGCGUUGAGGACGGGCGCUGGGCCGGCAGCGGGUCUAACGAUGGGGUUAAGAAAAAAGGUAGGCGAAACAAAGUUCAGGAAAAGCAAAGCCAAACAAAACAAAAACUUUUCUAAGCAUCUGCAAAACAUAAAGCAUACAAAUUCUCACAUCUCACAUCCCAUCCGCAUACCCCGCAACCAGGAGACCCGCAGAACAUGGCAAAAAAUUUGUGGCUGACUGAAAAGACCUCCCAAAGGGCAAGGCAGCCACAGCAAACAGCCUUUUGGCCACCUCUGACUUGGGGAACGCCCCCAAAUUGGCGCCAAGUUUUAAUUAUUCCAUCAUAUUUAUAAACUUUUGUACUUGCCACGCAGACUCAUUAUGUGCGUCACCCCACCGACCACCCCGCCACAACGCCGCGCCCACGCACACCCCACUCUCACCCUCGUGUUGGCCUCAUGUAUACUCCAUCCUUCAGUGGCGGCUAUAACUAUAAGGCAAGUGCCUUCUUGUUGUUUCCCCCCUGGUUCCUGUGUCGUCUCACAAUAAUGGCUGGCGACAAUGGCGGCAAGGACAAUGACGACGUCUGGGCAGGCCCGUCUUAGCUCCAUCCAGGCUGUUGGCGAGCCAGGCAGCAGGGACAUGGAGGCACAAGGCGUUACUCCAUAAAAAUGAACAACAGCUUUUUAUUGUCGAACAAUGAAGGCGAAAGCAGCUCUAAACAAGCACAGCCAAGCAGAGCAAAGCAGAGGCAGAGGCGGAGAGAGGGGCAAAGCAAAGUUCGACCUUUCUUUUAACUUACGAUCCUGUUUGCUGUCGUUGUCCUUGUCUUUGUUGCUGUGGGUGCCAUUGGUGUGAGCAUUUAAUGAGGCUGUUCCAUUAUUGUUCAAUUGUGCUUGGCUUGCCUGAGGAAUCUCUAUAUGCACACGGCUUGAAGGGAGCGGAGGAAAAAGCCCCUUUUGAUGACAGCUCUCUAAUUAAUCGAUUUAUCGAAGAGUCAACCCAGUUUUAUGAAUACUCAAAACAGAAGGCCCUAAGCCAGGCCCUAAAGCACUGCCAAGAGAGCCAUGAAAAAGGAAGCUGCUUUUUUGAUUGCAAAUUAAAUCGAUGAAUUACCACAUUAAUCGAACUGCCAUCGCGAUUAGAAAUCCUGCGAGUACAAAAAGGAGCCAGCCACCAACGAUUAAUCCGCCUGAGUCCAGUCUAAUAAGCCUCAGGACAGCUGGAUCAGACCAUAGCGAAGGCUCCUCUGACCUGAACCCCCUUGGAUCACUCACCAUUUUCCGGUUUGCUGGAAUAUCCGCAGAACGGCAGGAUGCCCGCCUUGGGUCAAAAUUAAUUGAAUGGCAAUGGCAACGGGGAAAAAGUUUCGCAACCAUUUCGCUGAUGAAACUAAUAACAUGUCAACCGUGUUACGCACCAAAGCACACGGAGGAGGCACUGAAGCAUACUCCUUUGCCUUCGGCUCUGUCCCCUGCCUCCUCUGUCCCCCACGACGUCUCCACCACUCAAAGGCUAAACGAGGCUCAACGCUGACACUCAAAGCUGACAAGUUAAGCCUGCCGCACAUGGCGAUUAGGCGGGGAAGAAGGCAUGGAAUGGGAUGGGAAGGGAUGGUAUGCACUCCCCUCCUCUAGAUUAGCACUUUGUUGCAGUUGGAAAAGCGGGAAAUCUGGACGCCUGAAUGUUCUUUUGAUUGCGCACUUUUUGAGUGCGACACAGAGGUAGCAUCAGGGGUAAAAGACACAUGAAGAGCUUCGUUAGCCCCGCGGCAAUCGCUAGACCCAGAAAGCAGACUGUAGCUUGAAUACUACACGUAAUAUUGAAUCGCAAUGCACCAGGAGCUGGAUCUGAGUGGUGAUGGUGGUGGUGCAGGGAGGCAGAGGCUCGAGGAACCCCCCGAAUGCGCAUAGUUGGAGUGAUAAACUGCUUUGGCACGGAAAUGGCCCUGGAAAUGGAAAUGAUGUCGAGUGUGCCAGUGUGCAUAAAAAGGCCAAUUAGAGGACGGCAGAGAUGCACGUUUCCCGGCCUACACUUGGAGAAAACAACGUGAAAGAAUCUGAUUAAAUAAAGCUGAAGCAGAUCGACUUAGGUCUUGUAUUUC